This 440-nucleotide ribosomal RNA is filed under the name uncultured bacterium. Its description in RNAcentral is "partial 16S ribosomal RNA". It matches the Rfam family "Bacterial small subunit ribosomal RNA", at positions 338 to 795 of the family's 1533-position model. The record is from RNAcentral.
CCUACGGGCGGCAGCAGUAGGGAAUAUUGCUCAAUGGGGGAAACCCUGAAGCAGCAACGCCGCGUGGAGGAUGAAGGUUUUCUGAUUGUAAACUCCUUUUGUUAGAGAAGAUAAUGACGGUAUCUAACGAAUAAGCACCGGCUAACUCCGUGCCAGCAGCCGCGGUAAUACGGACGGUGCAAGCGUUACGCGGAAUCACUGGGCGUAAAGAGCGCGUCGGCGGGAUAGCAAGUCAGAUGUGAAAUCCUAUGGCUUAACCAUAGAACUGCAUGUGAAACUGUUAUUCUAGAGUAUGGGAGAGGUAGGUGGAAUUCUUGGUGUAGGGGUAAAAUCCGGAGAGAACAAGAGGAAUACUCAUUGCGAAGGCGACCUGCUAGAACAUAACUGACGCUGAUGCGCGAAAGCGUGGGGAGCAAACAGGAUUAGAUACCCGGGUAGUC